Poecilia reticulata (guppy) is the source of this 2116-nucleotide non-coding RNA. The record is from RefSeq and is a predicted model, not a curated record. Lineage: Eukaryota; Metazoa; Chordata; Actinopteri; Cyprinodontiformes; Poeciliidae.
CAGCACAGAAAAAAAGAGCCAAGCUGAAAAGCAAAGCUCUUGAUUUCCAUCCCAUCUGCAUUCUGACCCCAACCAGGGUCAGAAAUCCCUCAAAGUUAAACCACUGCUUCUCUCUAUGUCGAUUCACAUGGUUUGAAAAUGCCUCAGCCCAUUUACAAACUAUUUCAUAUCAGGGUCCAGUGGACCCAAAUACGAGUAAUAGUAAUAGUAAUAGUAAUAGUAAUAGCUUUCCUCUAGAAAAGUUUAGGAAAUCUUGGGUUACUCUGACUUAUCACAAGUCAAGAACAACAUUAAGUUAAGAGCCUUAAAUGUUCAGCUUUUAAACCAYAUAUCUAAAUAAAAUUCAAAAUGAGAAUCAUUACUUAUAUUGCAUUUCAGAUUUUAUUUGUCUUCAAAUCAUAUUUGUUUACUAAUGCUUGCAGUUUGAAAAUACAUUUGAAUCAAGUAAAACUAUUUUGGUGUAGUUUAGAGUUUCCUUAAAUUCUUGUAACCUCUCAAGGAAAAAGUAAAGGUUAUUUCUUUUGAUAGCUUUAGAAAACUGUAACUCUUGUGUUUAUGCAAGAAUUUUGAUGAUCACUUAGCAAUUUAAUUUAUGAAUGAAUUGGUUUGAAACAGUUGUUUUUAAUGUAGAGCUGAUGGAAUUGAUCUUUUCAAAACUGAGUGUUUUACACUUAAAACUGCUUUGACAGGCCCAAAAAUGACCUAAUUCAUCUUUUAAACAUGGUUCUCAACAAUACAUUGUUCAAUAAUUUCAUCAACUGUUCAAUGUUUUACCAUUUACCGUUAACAUACACUAACUGAAUGUUCCUCUGUACUUUAUGGACAAAAAGGCAAGAAAGAGUGAGCAUGAAUCAAGCUUUGCAGUAAUUCAUUUGAGAACAAAGUUCUAGCAGAAGAAACAUUCUGCCUACCUGCUGAGUUGUGCACACAACAAGCUCCAGUUAUGGACAUCGUGGUCUGGGAUUUCCUUGARAAGGGAGYCCUGGUCUCAGGAACCUGGAAACAGACUUGGACAAGCCCCCGGUUGUUGUGUUGCACCCUUUUUCCAUGCAACAACCUGGUCUGUUGAACAAUUCUGGGACCAGACCACUACCCCUCAGAGUCACUACAUUGAGAAACAAUGGGAUUUGUUUAAGUAUAAAACAAUUUUUAAUGCCAAAAAUGAUCAAAUGUUACAAGUAAUAUAAAAGAAAUAGAUACAGAGUGACAUUCACUGUCCAGUACGGCUCCACUCAGCACACGAUUGUAAUGCAAGAUCUGCUUUUAUUGUUUCCUCAUUCUGCAUCCUCUCUAAGAGGUUUUGUGCUGCUUUGAUCAGUUUUGUUUAUGUGUGACUGUCACCAGUCUUAUAUGUUAUAGAUAUGUAAACGUGCAGCAGUGUGCAUGUGAGCAGAGGAGAUGGAGAAAAAAAUCAUAUGUUUGGAGAAAAUCUGAUUUACCUUGAAAUCUAUUUUAUAUUUGACAACCAGUACUAGCUUGAUGGAUAAAUUUAAAUAAUACGCAGCAUUUUAUGGAUAUGCUAUGGAAUACCACCUGUUAUCUUAUGUCCUCCCACUGUUGUGUGUUUAAUUGGGAGGUGACUGUGGUGUGGUAUUUUCAUGUUGGAAAUCUAUAAAAAGAUUUACAAAAAAUUACAACAUGUAUAUUUGGAACAGGAAAUGUGUGUUGGUGCUUUGUCAGGUUUUUAUAAAAUUGUGUUCAAACUGGAAUGAGAAAAUAUAAAGCAGACAUCUAAAUAUAUUUUCUUUGUCUACCCAGACUUCAAGAAAAAUGUUCGAGCAGCUCCAAUUAGAGCAGUGGAUGUCUACAACCUGAUGUGCUGGACGUUAGGUGUACAUCCUUUGCCUAAUAAUGGGUCUUGGUCUCGAAUGCACAGUGACCUGCGCAGUUCGGUGGACACAUUGUUCCACCGAACUAUGUGAGCUGCUUUUAAUAAAGUCUGUCAUACAACCGGGAGGAGGCCUUCUGAAGCUGCUGCCCCUGCGACCCGACCCCGGAUAAGCGGAAGAAAAUGGAUGGAUGGAUGUCAUACAACGUAUUAAUGYUCAAAAAAGAGUUGCGGUGAUCUGUAUUUGUCAGUGUUAAAUUUAAUUCCAAUAAAAACCUGUUUCCCUUG